RNAcentral lists this ribosomal RNA (433 nucleotides) under uncultured bacterium. Its description in RNAcentral is "partial 16S ribosomal RNA". It matches the Rfam family "Bacterial small subunit ribosomal RNA", at positions 29 to 507 of the family's 1533-position model. The record is from RNAcentral.
AGCGAACGCUGGCGGCAGGCUUAACACAUGCAAGUCGAGCGGGCACUUCGGUGUCAGCGGCAGACGGGUGAGUAACACGUGGGAACGUACCCUUUGGUUCGGAAUAACGCUGGGAAACUAGCGCUAAUACCGGAUACGCCCUUUUGGGGAAAGGCUUGCUGCCGAAGGAUCGGCCCGCGUCUGAUUAGCUAGUUGGUGGGGUAAUGGCCUACCAAGGCGACGAUCAGUAGCUGGUCUGAGAGGAUGAUCAGCCACACUGGGACUGAGACACGGCCCAGACUCCUACGGGAGGCAGCAGUGGGGAAUAUUGGACAAUGGGCGCAAGCCUGAUCCAGCCAUGCCGCGUGAGUGAUGAAGGCCUUAGGGUUGUAAAGCUCUUUUGUCCGGGACGAUAAUGACGGUACCGGAAGAAUAAGCCCCGGCUAACUUCGUU